AAGGUCUAACCUGCCCAAUGAGUAAUUGAAUGGCCGCGGUAUUUUAACUGUGCUAAGGUAGCAUAAUCACUUGUCUUUUAAUUAAAGGCUAGAAUGAAUGGUUGGACGAGGUAUAAUCUUUCUUUAACUUAAUCAUUGAAUUUAAUUUUUCAGUUAAAAAGCUGAAAUGUUUUUGAGGGACGAGAAGACCCUAUAGAUCUUUAUAUAUUUAUUUAUUAUAUAUUUUGGUGAAUUAGUUAUUUUAAUAAAUUUAUAUAUUUGGUUGGGGCGAUUGUGGAAUAAAAAUAACUUCUAUUAUUAAGAUUUCAUUAAUUAAUGUAUUAUUGAUCCAUUAUUAAUGAUUAUAAGAUUAAGUUACCUUAGGGAUAACAGCGUAAUUUCUUUGGAGAGUUCUUAUCAAUAAAGGAGUUUGCGACCUCGAUGUUGGAUUAAAAUAAGUAAUAGGUGCAAAAGUUUAUAUACUGGGUCUGUUCGACCUU
Molecule: ribosomal RNA, 479 nt
Filed under: Sphedanolestes impressicollis
Lineage: Eukaryota; Metazoa; Arthropoda; Insecta; Hemiptera; Reduviidae
Description: partial large subunit ribosomal RNA
Rfam family: Bacterial large subunit ribosomal RNA
Source: RNAcentral